CGAUGAUAGGGGUGAAAUCCAGUGACCAUCUCAUGAUCAGCUGCUGCGAAGGCGGUUGUAUGUCAUGUCCCCUCUGAUAAAGGACUAAGGAUUGGCUCUCAAAGGCGAUCAGAUACCGCUGUAGUCCAAUCAGUAAAUGAUGCCAACUAGACCAAGGGCUUAGAUUCAUGCAGAUAAUUGGCUCUYGGUCUUAGAGAAAUCAAAGUGGAUGGGCUCCGGGGGGAGUAUGGUCGCAAGGCUGAAACUUAAAGGAAUUGACGGAAGGGCACCACAAGGUGUGGAGCCUGCGGCUUAAUUUGACUCAACGCGGGACAACUUACCAGGUCAGGACAUGAGAAGGAUUGACAGAUUAAUAGCUCUUUCAUGAUUUUAUGGGUGGUGGUGCAUGGCCGUUUUUAGUUCGUGGAGUGAUUCGUCAGGUUGAUUCCUUAAACGAGCGAGAUCUUUGUCUGUCAUUGGCCUAGCAGUCCUUGACUUGAACUAGCGAAAAGAUUUGGGCUGGCUAGUGCUCUAUAAGAGACGAUCACUGUCAAAGGUGAUGGAAGUGGAAGCCAAUAACAGGUCUGUGRUGCCCUYAGAUGUCCUGGGCCGCACGCGUGCUACACUGGCUGGCAUAGCGAGAACUUUAAGCCUAUGUCUGAGAGACGGGAGGGCGAACU
This 659-nucleotide ribosomal RNA is filed under the name Cantharellus cibarius (golden chanterelle). RNAcentral describes it as "SSU rRNA". It matches the Rfam family "Eukaryotic small subunit ribosomal RNA", at positions 911 to 1572 of the family's 1831-position model. The record is from RNAcentral. Lineage: Eukaryota; Fungi; Basidiomycota; Agaricomycetes; Cantharellales; Hydnaceae.